This is a non-coding RNA of Pelobates cultripes (western spadefoot toad), 315 nucleotides long. The record is from the annotation of a GenBank genome assembly. Lineage: Eukaryota; Metazoa; Chordata; Amphibia; Anura; Pelobatidae.
GAUUAUUUGCACAGGUGCCUGCAAAGAGAUCAGCUGCUCUACUUUGAUCCUGCCUUUUUUCAGACCUCGGCUUGUAAACGGAUUUCUACCUUCUCCACUCCCAGACCUCGGCUUGUAAACGGAUUUCUACCUUCUCCACUCCUAGACCUCGGCUUGUAACACGGAAUUCUACCUUCUCCACUCCUAGACCUCGGCUUGUAACACGGAAUUCUACCUUCUCCACUCCUAGACCUCGGCUUGUUAAAACGGACUUCUAAUUUCUCCUCCAUUGGGUGAAUUAACCCUUCCAGUGCCAGAACUGCUUUUUAAGUUAAG